Molecule: ribosomal RNA, 886 nt
Filed under: Gigaspora margarita
Lineage: Eukaryota; Fungi; Glomeromycota; Glomeromycetes; Diversisporales; Gigasporaceae
Description: eukaryotic LSU rRNA
Rfam family: Eukaryotic large subunit ribosomal RNA
Source: RNAcentral
GACCUCAAGUCAUGUGAGAGUACCCGCUGAACUUAAGCAUAUCAAUAAGCGGAGGAAAAGAAACUAACAAGGAUUCCCCUAGUAACGGCGAGUGAAGCGGGAAGAGCACAAAUUUAAAAUCUACCUGGUUUUUAGGUCGAGUUGUAAUUUGAAGAUACGUUUUUGACGUUCUGGGUUGGACUAAAUCCUUUGGGAUAAGGUAUCAUAGAGGGUGAGAAUCCCGUAUAUACCAACCGUAGGGAUGUUAUUAAAUACGUUUCUAAGAGUCGAGUUGUUUGGGAAUGCAGCUCUAAAUGGGUGGUAAAUUUCACCUAAUGCUAAAUAUAAGCGAGAGACCGAUAGCGAACAAGUACAGUGAUGGAAAGAUGAAAAGAACUUUGAAAAGAGAGUUAAAUAGUACGUGAAAUUGUUGAAAGGGAAACGAUUGAAGUCAGUCAUGCUGGUGGGAAUCAACUUAGGGGAAACUCUGGGUGCACUUCUUCGCUUGGCAGGUCAACGUCGAUUUUGAAUGUCAUAAAAUAAUUGGGGGAAAGUAGCUCCUUCGGGAGUGUUAUAGCCCUUGAUAGAUGUGAUGUUUGAGGUCGAGGAUUGCAACGGAUACCCUUCGGGGCUAGCUGCCUGAUCUCUAAUUGGUGUUGGGUUACGGAUAGCAUGCUGACCGUGAUCUAAUUACUGGUUAAAAGGUUAGAGUGUGCAUAAAUUCGUUAAGGACGUUGACGUAAUGGCUUUAAACGACCCGUCUUGAAACACGGACCAAGGAGUCUAACAUGUGUGCGAGUGUUAGGGUAUUAAACCCAGACGCGAAAUGAAAGUGAGUGUAGGUGGGAUCCUUUAUUGGAGCACCAUCGACCGAUCUUGAGAUUUAUCGAUAGAAUUGAGUUAGAGC